AAUUAUAUAGUAUAUCACAGUAUAUUUGAUUUCCAAUCAUAAGGACUAACUUAAUUAGUAUAAUUA
RNAcentral lists this transfer RNA (66 nucleotides) under Paracladura trichoptera. RNAcentral's name for it is "tRNA-Gly". The record is from RNAcentral. Lineage: Eukaryota; Metazoa; Arthropoda; Insecta; Diptera; Trichoceridae.